Molecule: ribosomal RNA, 450 nt
Filed under: uncultured bacterium
Lineage: Bacteria
Description: partial 16S ribosomal RNA
Rfam family: Bacterial small subunit ribosomal RNA
Source: RNAcentral
GUGGGGAAUUUUGGACAAUGGGCGCAAGCCUGAUCCAGCCAUUCCGCGUGCAGGAUGAAGGCCUUCGGGUUGUAAACUGCUUUUGUACGGAACGAAAAGCCUCUGGUUAAUACCCGGGGGUCAUGACGGUACCGUAAGAAUAAGCACCGCCUAACUACGUGCCAGCAGCCGCGGUAAUACGUAGGGUGCGAGCGUUAAUCGGAAUUACUGGGCGUAAAGCGUGCGAAGGAGGUGAUGUAAGACAGUGGUGAAGUCCCCGGGCUCAACCUGGGAACUGCAUCUGUGACUGCAUUGCUGGAGUGCGGCAGAGGGGGAUGGAAUUCCGCGUGUAGCAGUGAAAUGCGUAGAUAUGCGGAGGAACACCGAUGGCGAAGGCAAUCCCCUGGGCCUGCACUGACGCUCAUGCACGAAAGCGUGGGGAGCAAACAGGAUUAGAAACCCUAGUAGUCC